RNAcentral lists this ribosomal RNA (403 nucleotides) under uncultured bacterium. RNAcentral's name for it is "partial 16S ribosomal RNA". It matches the Rfam family "Bacterial small subunit ribosomal RNA", at positions 28 to 526 of the family's 1533-position model. The record is from RNAcentral.
GACGAACGCUGGCGGCGUGCCUAAUACAUGCAAGUCGAACGCAGUGGGGACGGGUGAGUAACACGUGGGUAACCUCCCAUCAGAGGGGAUAACACUUGGAAACAGGUGCUAAACCGAUACUGAUGGAUGGACACGCGGUGCAUUAGCCAUUUGGUGAGGUAACGGCUCACCAAGGCCACGAUGCAUAGCCGACCAGAGAGGGUGAUCAGCCACACUGUGACUGAGACAAGGCCCAGACUCCUACGGGAGGCAGCAGUGGGGAAUAUUGCACAAUGGGCGCAAGCCUGAGGCAGCCAUGCCGCGUGUAUGAAGAAGGCAUUCGGGUUGUAAAGUACGUUCAGCGGGGAGGCGUUACUCGCAGAAGAAGCACCGGCUAACUCCGUGCCAGCAGCCGCGGUAAUUC